CGACUCCAUGAAGCUGGAUUCGCUAGUAAUCGCGCAUCAGCCACGGCGCGGUGAAUACGUUCCCGGGCCUUGUACACACCGCCCGUCAAGCCAUGGAAGCCGGGGGUGCCUGAAGUGCGCUGCCGCGAGGAGCGCCCUAGGGUAAAACCGGUGACUGGGGCUAAGUCGUAACAAGGUACC
This 180-nucleotide ribosomal RNA is filed under the name uncultured bacterium. RNAcentral's name for it is "partial 16S ribosomal RNA". It matches the Rfam family "Bacterial small subunit ribosomal RNA", at positions 1313 to 1500 of the family's 1533-position model. The record is from RNAcentral.